This 272-nucleotide ribosomal RNA is filed under the name uncultured Staphylococcus sp. RNAcentral's name for it is "partial 16S ribosomal RNA". It matches the Rfam family "Bacterial small subunit ribosomal RNA", at positions 90 to 355 of the family's 1533-position model. Lineage: Bacteria; Bacillati; Bacillota; Bacilli; Caryophanales; Staphylococcaceae. The record is from RNAcentral.
CGUUAGCGGCGGACGGGUGAGUAACACGUGGGUAACCUACCUAUAAGACUGGGAUAACUUCGGGAAACCGGAGCUAAUACCGGAUAAUAUUUCGAACCGCAUGGUUCGAUAGUGAAAGAUGGUUUUGCUAUCACUUAUAGAUGGACCCGCGCCGUAUUAGCUAGUUGGUAAGGUAACGGCUUACCAAGGCGACGAUACGUAGCCGACCUGAGAGGGUGAUCGGCCACACUGGAACUGAGACACGGUCCAGACUCCUACGGGAGGCAGCAGCU